This 785-nucleotide long non-coding RNA is filed under the name Homo sapiens (human). RNAcentral's name for it is "HSALNT0129735". The record is from RNAcentral. Lineage: Eukaryota; Metazoa; Chordata; Mammalia; Primates; Hominidae.
AUGAACAUCUGAUCCACUGUGGUGCCUGAUCUUUUUCUUCUUCUAAACUGAUCAAAAUUGAAAACCCUAGUUCAGAUAUAUAGGCAGUCAUGAAUAGUAAUAAUGCGUAUGCAUGUUCUGCAUAGUAAUAAAUUCUUCUUUAAUCUUAGUCUGACAUCAUGAUAAAUUGCAUACCCGACAAUCAUUUCUCUGUGUAAAUGAAGUACUAAGCUGUAAUAAUUUAUUCUCUUCAUAAAAUACCAAGUUUAAUCAAGUUAAUUAUUUAAAUCAAUAAAAAUGAUCUGGUUCACCCUAUUAACUGCCCAACAAACUGUUUGAAAACUAUAUAUUCUUUGUUAAAGGGUAGAUUACAAGAAAUGUUUUCCAUGUUCUUAAUUUAAAAAACAAGAUUCUGAUAUAAUGAACCUAAAUCAAAAUUCACAAAUGGUGGCUGAAAUCCUGUGAGAGUACAACAUAAAUCCAUAGUUAUUGUGCAUAAACAAUUCAAAAUUAGUUUAUAAAGGGAACGUCAACAAGUCCUAUAACCACCACACCUUAUUACUAAUGGGUUCCACCACACUUCACCCAGGCACAGCAGAUAUAAACAUCUGACAGACUGCUCAGAAAAUUAAAGCUAUUAGAGCUAUAAAUAAGGAAUGCCUAAAUAUAAACAUAGCAAUGCCAAUACAUUAGUGCCGUUUUAAAAAGUGAAUAAGAUGCAGUGUAAACACACCUGAUAGUUCCCUCUGUAAGCCACUUUCCCACUGAUUUAUAAAGCUAUGGUUCUGUAAUUCUUUUAAAAAGGA